Molecule: long non-coding RNA, 786 nt
Organism: Micropterus dolomieu (smallmouth bass)
Lineage: Eukaryota; Metazoa; Chordata; Actinopteri; Centrarchiformes; Centrarchidae
Exons: 3
Source: RefSeq, a predicted model, not a curated record
AAAAAGUAUCGGUCCAAUCAUGUUGUUCCCAACUGCUGCUCAACAACCUCAGAUGCCACCAUUACAGAACCUGUCAUUGCCUGCUACCUACAGGGGGAAAACACAUUUCCUACUUGUAAAGUAAAGGCCUACAUGUAAGAAAAUCAUUCAAACAUUUUUGUGUUUGUGGGGAGGAGUCUCACACUGUGCCCUUACUCAGUUGAUUACAGGGCCGGCCCGUGGCAUAGGCGACAGGUGGUUACCUAUGGCGCUUAAAUGUCUGGGGGCGCCGCAAGAGAAGGUUUUCGACUUGGCACAAAUCAUCUCAGCCCAGCUGUUCUGACACCGGCAUAGGCCGUGAUAGCAACUUCAUCACUCAAAAUAACAAAUGGUGUGUAGACCCAAGAGCUUGGUGGAUCCCACAAAGACUGGAGAAGUUAGCAAAAAGAGGGAUAUAUUGCAAAACCCAGUGAAAUGCCUUCAACAGCCAAGAUGAUGAUGAUGGACUAUGACGCAUCAUGAACUUUUAAGCAGAAAUCUUUACACACUGACCAAAAUCUGUUUAUUUUUUCUAUUUUGUUAAAGCUGGGGUAGGCAAUUUAUUGCAGAAGCAAAUUUUAAUAUGUUGAAAUUCUGACUUUAAUAAACAAACAAACAAACAAUCAUUUAAUUUGGUCCGAAGGAGAUAUGAACUUUCAAAUUGCAGAGUUUCUCCAACAUUGCCUACCCUAGGUUUAAUUGAAAGGUUUCAUUUCCUUUGUUGGAAUCAUUAUCAUCUUCUAAACAAAUAAAGAUAUUUUAAAUGUU